GAUGAACGCUGGCGGCGUGCCUAAUACAUGCAAGUCGAGCGAACGGACGAGAAGCUUGCUUCUCUGAUGUUAGCGGCGGACGGGUGAGUAACACGUGGAUAACCUACCUAUAAGACUGGGAUAACUUCGGGAAACCGGAGAUAAUACCGGAUAAUAUUUUGAACCGCAUGGUUCAAAAGUGAAAGACGGUCUUGCUGUCACUUAUAGAUGGAUCCGCGCUGCAUUAGCUAGUUGGUAAGGUAACGGCUUACCAAGGCAACGAUGCAUAGCCGACCUGAGAAGGUGAUCGGCCACACUGGAACUGAGGCACGGUCCAGACUCCUACGGGAGGCAGCAGUAGGGAAUCUUCCGCAAUGGGCGGAAGCCUGACGGAGCAACGCCGCGUGAGUUAUGAAGGUCUUCGGAUCGGAAAACUCUGUUAGUAGGGAAGAACAUAUGUGUAAGUAACUGUGCACAGCUUGACGGUACCUAAUCAGAAAGCCACGGCUAACUACGUG
RNAcentral lists this ribosomal RNA (497 nucleotides) under uncultured bacterium. RNAcentral's name for it is "partial 16S ribosomal RNA". It matches the Rfam family "Bacterial small subunit ribosomal RNA", at positions 28 to 507 of the family's 1533-position model. The record is from RNAcentral.